UUAAUAACUAAGAGAGCAUUAUAGUGGCAGGAGCAUGCUAGUUAACACACCACAAACCUAUAUUUUCCCGCAAACAACGUUCAUAUAUAUAAAUUUCACAAAUUUAUAAAUAUUUUAACUUCUACGCUUCAAUAUAAACCAAGUAACAAUCCUAUAGCCAUAAAAGAAGAAACAAAAUCAUAUGGACAAGAUUCCCAAAUUUUAUGCAAUAAUA
This 214-nucleotide long non-coding RNA is filed under the name Daucus carota (carrot). Its description in RNAcentral is "long non-coding RNA (DCAR_LNC003095)". The record is from RNAcentral. Lineage: Eukaryota; Viridiplantae; Streptophyta; Magnoliopsida; Apiales; Apiaceae.